RNAcentral lists this ribosomal RNA (158 nucleotides) under Hohenbuehelia grisea. RNAcentral's name for it is "5.8S ribosomal RNA". It matches the Rfam family "5.8S ribosomal RNA". Rfam says of the family: 5.8S ribosomal RNA (5.8S rRNA) is a component of the large subunit of the eukaryotic ribosome. It is transcribed by RNA polymerase I as part of the 45S precursor that also contains 18S and 28S rRNA. The record is from RNAcentral. Lineage: Eukaryota; Fungi; Basidiomycota; Agaricomycetes; Agaricales; Pleurotaceae. RNAcentral also lists the same sequence under 18 other names.
CAACUUUCAGCAACGGAUCUCUUGGCUCUCGCAUCGAUGAAGAACGCAGCGAAAUGCGAUAAGUAAUGUGAAUUGCAGAAUUCAGUGAAUCAUCGAAUCUUUGAACGCACCUUGCGCCCUUUGGUAUUCCGAAGGGCAUGCCUGUUUGAGUGUCAUUA